GCAUUACUGGUUUUCGGAAAAAAGUCAGUUAUAUUCUCGGAUAGGGCGGGCAUCACGUGCAAAACAUACAACUCCUCACACAACAGGCUCUAUGUCUUUUGCUAGGAAAAGACAAGAAUUUGAAGAGAAAAAUCAAAGAGAACCUAGACGUAUUGAAUUUUUUGCAGUUACUCACAAAUCAAAAGAUGGGAGUUAUAUUAAUACUGCAGCAAGUAACUU
Ananas comosus (pineapple) is the source of this 219-nucleotide long non-coding RNA. RefSeq lists it as uncharacterized. The transcript has 3 exons. Lineage: Eukaryota; Viridiplantae; Streptophyta; Magnoliopsida; Poales; Bromeliaceae. The record is from RefSeq and is a predicted model, not a curated record.